UACGUAGGUGUCGAGCGUUAUCCGGAAUUACUGGGCGUAAAGGGCACGCAGGCGGCUGCUCAAGUCUGACGUGAAAACUCCCGGCUUAACCGGGAGAGGCCGUUGGAAACUGAGUGGCUUGAGGCAAGGAGAGGGAUGCGGAAUUCCAGGUGUAGUGGUGGAAUGCGUAGAUAUCUGGAAGAACACCAGUGGCGAAAGCGGCAUCCUGGCCUUGAACUGACGCUGAGGUGCGAAAGCGUGGGUAGCGAACGGG
RNAcentral lists this ribosomal RNA (253 nucleotides) under uncultured bacterium. Its description in RNAcentral is "partial 16S ribosomal RNA". It matches the Rfam family "Bacterial small subunit ribosomal RNA", at positions 524 to 776 of the family's 1533-position model. The record is from RNAcentral.